Molecule: ribosomal RNA, 407 nt
Filed under: uncultured bacterium
Lineage: Bacteria
Description: partial 16S ribosomal RNA
Rfam family: Bacterial small subunit ribosomal RNA
Source: RNAcentral
AUUGAACGCUGGCGGCAGGCCUAACACAUGCAAGUCGAGCGGAGCGGCGGACGGGUGAGUAAUGCCUAGGAAUCUGCCUGGUAGUGGGGGAUAACGUCCGUAAACGGGCGCUAAUACCGCAUACUAUCAGAUGAGCGUAGGUCGGAUUAGCUAGUUGGUGGGGUAAAGGCCUACCAAGGCGACGAUCCGUAACUGGUCUGAGAGGAUGAUCAAUCACACUGGAACUGUGACACGGUCCAGACUCCUACGGGAGACAGCCGAGGGGAAUAUUGGACAAUGCGCGAAAGCCUGAUCCAGCCAUGCCGCGUGUGUGAAGAAGGUCUUCGGAUUGUAAAGCAAUUUAAGUUGGGAGGCGUUACCAACAGAAUAAGCACCGGCUAACUUCGUGCCAGCAGCCGCGGUAAUUC